AGCUCUUGGACAAAGUUAUGGCUUUCAAUCUUUGCAAAAUGGACAAAAGUAUCUUCAAAAGGUUGGUUGAGAUGGGCUGCCAAUUGUGCUACCACCUAGGCACUCCACCUGGACGCCACAUUGGUUGCCAACUAGGAUGGGCUUGCUGACGUGGCUGCUACGUGGCUGCUACAUGUAUGCCACCUUGGAUGGAUGCUACUUGGUCUUUUGGCUCCUUAAAUAUGGAAAGGAAUGUACAGCAAGGUUGGCUUCCCUCUUCCAAGUCCAAACCGAAUACUUGCAACAGGUUGGACUCGGUGAUGUGCUUAUGCACUAAGCCUUGAAGCUUCUUAGCCAUU
This 338-nucleotide unclassified non-coding RNA is filed under the name Hevea brasiliensis (rubber tree). The record is from RNAcentral. Lineage: Eukaryota; Viridiplantae; Streptophyta; Magnoliopsida; Malpighiales; Euphorbiaceae.